UGGGGAAUAUUGCACAAUGGGCGCAAGCCUGAUGCGGCCAUGCCGCGUGUAUGAAGAAGGCCUUCGGGUUGUAAAGUACUUUCAGUCGGGAGGAAGGUGUCAAGGUUAAUAACCUUGGCAAUUGACGUUACCGACAGAAGAAGCACCGGCUAACUCCGUGCCAGCAGCCGCGGUAAUACGGAGGGUGCAAGCGUUAAUCGGAAUUACUGGGCGUAAAGCGCACGCAGGCGGUUGAUUGAGUCAGAUGUGAAAUCCCCGGGCUUAACCCGGGAAUUGCAUCUGAUACUGGUCAGCUAGAGUCUUGUAGAGGGGGGUAGAAUUCCAUGUGUAGCGGUGAAAUGCGUAGAGAUGUGGAGGAAUACCGGUGGCGAAGGCGGCCCCCUGGACAAAGACUGACGCUCAGGUGCGAAAGCGUGGGGAGCAAACAGG
Molecule: ribosomal RNA, 429 nt
Filed under: Chloroflexota bacterium
Lineage: Bacteria; Bacillati; Chloroflexota
Description: Chloroflexi bacterium partial 16S ribosomal RNA
Rfam family: Bacterial small subunit ribosomal RNA
Source: RNAcentral